AAUUAUUAAUUUACUUUAUUUUUAUUUAUUUUAUUUUUAUAGAAAUAACUUUUAUUUUAGUAGGUUUUACUGAAUAAAUUUUUUUAGUUAUAGUGAAUUAGUACUGUAGGGGGAUAUUAGUGGAAUUAAGUGGAAGGAGAUUUAAUUUAUUGUACCUUUUGUAUCAGGGGUAAUUAAUUACUUUUAUUUAUUUAAUUUUCCCGAAAUUAGGGGAGAUAUAAUUAUAUGUUAGUUAAUGUUUCAUAAUUAUUAAUAAUAUAAUUAUAGUAAUGAUAAGUUAUUCGUCCCUAAAUAUCUGGUUUCUUAAGAGUUGAAUUUAAUUCAGAAUUAUUUAUUUUUAAUUUUAAUUUUAUUAAAUUAAAUUAGGUAGUUUAAGAUUUUCGGGGAUAAGCUCGGGAAUUUUUUUAUAAUUUUUAAUUUUCAAGGGAUUAUGUAGGCUUAGAAUCAGCCAUCCUUAAUUUCGUUAUAGAAUGUUCUUUUUUGUUUUUUAUUUAAUUAAGUUUAAUUUAAUAUUAAGAUUUUUCAUUUAAUUUUUUAUUGUUAAUAAUAAUGAUUAUAUUAGUAUAUUUGUAUGUAAAAUAUAGGAACUCGGCAAAAUUUAUGCCCGCCUGUUUAACAAAAACAUGUUCUUUAGAAUUUUUAUUUAAGGUUUAACCUGCCCAAUGAGUACUUCAAUGGCCGCGGUAUAUUAACCGUGCUAAGGUAGCAUAAUCAUUUGUCUUUUAAUUAAGGGCUUGAAUGAAUGGUUGGACGAGGUAUAAUCUUUCUUUAUUUUAUUUUUAGAAUUUAUCUUUUUAGUCAAAAGACUAAAAUAUAUCUGUGGGACGAGAAGACCCUAUAGAUCUUUAUAAAAAGUAGUUUUAAGUUUAUUUGGUUAUUUUUAAUUUAAAAUUAUUUAUUUAUUUAAUUGGGGUGAUUUCAGAAAUUUAGUAACUUCUGUUUAUUUAAUUCGUUAAUUUUCGUUUUUAUGAUCCAUUAUUAAUGAUUAUAAGAUUAAGUUACCUUAGGGAUAACAGCGUAAUCUCUUCAGAGAGUUCAUAUCGAUGAAGGGGUUUGCGACCUCGAUGUUGGAUUAAAAUAAGUAUUAGGUGCAGCAAUUUAAUAACUAGGUCUGUUCGACCUUUAAUUUUUUACAUGAUCUGAGUUCAGACCGGCGUAAGCCAGGUCAGUUUCUAUCUUCAGUUACGGGUUUAUGUCUUAGUACGAAAGGACCUGGCAUAAGGAAUAAAUUCUUUUAUAGUUGAUUAAUAUU
This 1252-nucleotide ribosomal RNA is filed under the name Lestomerus sanctus. RNAcentral's name for it is "partial large subunit ribosomal RNA". The stretch from base 793 to 1252 matches the Rfam family "Bacterial large subunit ribosomal RNA", at positions 2048 to 2732 of the family's 2925-position model. Lineage: Eukaryota; Metazoa; Arthropoda; Insecta; Hemiptera; Reduviidae. The record is from RNAcentral.